CAAUAGCGUAUAUUAAAGUUGUUGCAGUUAAAAAGCUCGUAGUUGGAUUUCGGGGUGGCCUGCCUGGUCCACCGCAAGGUGAGUACUGGUCAGCCGCCCUUCCUCUCGAAAGCCCCGACUGCUCUUCAUUGCAGUGGUCGGGUAGUUCGGGACGUUUACUUUGAAAAAAUUAGAGUGUUCAAGGCAGGCUCUCGCCUGAAUACAUUAGCAUGGAAUAAUGGAAGGGGACCUCGGUCCUAUUUUGUUGGUUUCUAGGGCCGAGGUAAUGAUUAAGAGGGACAGUUGGGGGCAUUCGUAUUUAAUUGUCAGAGGUGAAAUUCUUGGAUUUAUGAAAGACGAACUAGUGCGAAAGCAUUUGCCAAGGAUGUUUUCAUUAA
This 377-nucleotide ribosomal RNA is filed under the name uncultured eukaryote. Its description in RNAcentral is "partial 18S ribosomal RNA". It matches the Rfam family "Eukaryotic small subunit ribosomal RNA", at positions 592 to 976 of the family's 1831-position model. The record is from RNAcentral.